This 31-nucleotide ribosomal RNA is filed under the name Lactarius salmonicolor. RNAcentral's name for it is "partial small subunit ribosomal RNA". The record is from RNAcentral. Lineage: Eukaryota; Fungi; Basidiomycota; Agaricomycetes; Russulales; Russulaceae.
UCCGUAGGUGAACCUGCGGAAGGAUCAKUUA